This 225-nucleotide unclassified non-coding RNA is filed under the name plant metagenome. Its description in RNAcentral is "partial contains small subunit ribosomal RNA, internal transcribed spacer 1, and 5.8S ribosomal RNA". The record is from RNAcentral.
UCUCCGUUGGUGAACCAGCGGAGGGAUCAUUACAGGACUCGCAAGACUCCUACAACCCUGUGAACUUAACUAUAAGCACGUUGCUUCGGCGGGUGUCUCGGAGGGGUUUCUCCCUCCCCGAGACGCUAAACCCGCCGGCAGCCUACUAUACUCUGUCUCUUUGCGUUGGCAUCUCGAGUACAAUCAAACAAGUUAAAACUUUCAACAACGGAUCUCUUGGUUCUG